UACGGAGGAUGCGAGCGUUAUCCGGAUUUAUUGGGUUUAAAGGGUGCGUAGGCGGACUGUCAAGUCAGCGGUAAAAUUGAGAGGCUCAACCUCUUCCCGCCGUUGAAACUGGUGGUCUUGAGUGGAUGAGAAGUACGCGGAAUGCGUGGUGUAGCGGUGAGAUGCAUAGAUAUCACGCAGAACUCCGAUUGCGAAGACAGCGUACCGGCAUCCAACUGACGCUGAGGCACGAAAGCGUGGGGAUCAAACAGG
RNAcentral lists this ribosomal RNA (252 nucleotides) under uncultured bacterium. RNAcentral describes it as "partial 16S ribosomal RNA". It matches the Rfam family "Bacterial small subunit ribosomal RNA", at positions 524 to 776 of the family's 1533-position model. The record is from RNAcentral.